UCUCAGUUCGGAUCGGAGCUGNAACCCGACUCCGUGAAGCUGGAUUCGCUAGUAAUCGCGCAUCAGCCAUGGCGCGGUGAAUACGUUCCCGGGCCUUGUACACACCGCCCGUCAAGCCAUGGGAGCCGGGGGUGCUUGAAGUGCGUCGCCGCAAGGCGCGCCCUAGAGCAAAACCGGUGACUGGGGCUAAGUCGUAACAAGGUACC
This 206-nucleotide ribosomal RNA is filed under the name uncultured bacterium. RNAcentral's name for it is "partial 16S ribosomal RNA". It matches the Rfam family "Bacterial small subunit ribosomal RNA", at positions 1286 to 1500 of the family's 1533-position model. The record is from RNAcentral.